GAUAUUGCACAAUGGGGGGAACCCUGAUGCAGCGACGCCGCGUGGGCGAGGGAGCGCCUCGGCGCGUAAAGCCCUUUCGGCGGGGGAGAGCGAUGACGGUACCCGACGAAGAAGCCCCGGCUAACUACGUGCCAGCAGCCGCGGUAAUACGUAGGGGGCAAGCGUUAUCCGGAUUUACUGGGUGUAAAGGGAGCGUAGACGGCAGCGCAAGUCUGGAGUGAAAUGCCGGGGCCCAACCCCGGAACUGCUUUGGAAACUGUGCAGCUCGAGUGCAGGAGAGGUAAGCGGAAUUCCUAGUGUAGCGGUGAAAUGCGUAGAUAUUAGGAGGAACACCAGUGGCGAAGGCGGCUUACUGGACUGUAACUGACGUUGAGGCUCGAAAGCGUGGGGAGCAAACAG
RNAcentral lists this ribosomal RNA (399 nucleotides) under uncultured bacterium. Its description in RNAcentral is "bacterial SSU rRNA". It matches the Rfam family "Bacterial small subunit ribosomal RNA", at positions 359 to 775 of the family's 1533-position model. The record is from RNAcentral.